GUGAGGAAUUUUCCGCAAUGGGCGAAAGCCUGACGGAGCAAUGCCGCGUGAAGGAUGAAGGCCUAUGGGUUGUAAACUUCUUUUCUUAGAGAAGAAUAUUGACGGUAUCUGAGGAAUAAGCAUCGGCUAACUCUGUGCCAGCAGCCGCGGUAAGACAGAGGAUGCAAGCGUUAUCCGGAAUGAUUGGGCGUAAAGCGUCUGUAGGUGGCUUCAAAAGUCUCCUGUCAAAGAUCAGGGCUUAACCCUGGGCCGGCAGGAGAAACUCUGAGGCUAGAGUUUGGUAGGGGCAGAGGGAAUUCCCGGUGGAGCGGUGAAAUGCGUAGAUAUUGGGAGGAACACCAGUGGCGAAGGCGCCUUUCUGGACUGUGUCUGACGCUGAGAUGCGAAAGCCAGGGUAGCGAACGGGAUUAGAAACCCUGGUAGUCC
RNAcentral lists this ribosomal RNA (426 nucleotides) under uncultured bacterium. RNAcentral describes it as "partial 16S ribosomal RNA". It matches the Rfam family "Bacterial small subunit ribosomal RNA", at positions 354 to 796 of the family's 1533-position model. The record is from RNAcentral.